RNAcentral lists this ribosomal RNA (503 nucleotides) under uncultured bacterium. Its description in RNAcentral is "partial 16S ribosomal RNA". It matches the Rfam family "Bacterial small subunit ribosomal RNA", at positions 30 to 523 of the family's 1533-position model. The record is from RNAcentral.
AUUGAACGCUGGCGGCAGGCUUAACACAUGCAAGUCGAGCGGGGUGAUGGUGCUUGCACUAUCACUUAGCGGCGGACGGGUGAGUAAUGCUUAGGAAUCUGCCUAUUAGUGGGGGACAACAUCUCGAAAGGGAUGUUAAUACCGCAUACGUCCUACGGGAGAAAGCAGGGGAUCACUUGUGACCUUGCGCUAAUAGAUGAGCCUAAGUCGGAUUAGCUAGUUGGUGGGGUAAAGGCCUACCAAGGCGACGAUCUGUAGCAGGUCUGAGAGGAUGAUCCGCCACACUGGGACUGAGACACGGCCCAGACUCCGACGGGAGGCAGCAGUGGGGAAUAUUGGACAAUGGGGGGAACCCUGAUCCAGCCAUGCCGCGUGUGUGAAGAAGGCCUUAUGGUUGUAAAGCACUUUAAGCGAGGAGGAGGCUCUUUUGGUUAAUACCCAAGAUGAGUGGACGUUACUCGCAGAAUAAGCACCGGCUAACUCUGUGCCAGCAGCCGCCGUAA